AUGAGAGAUAGUCAACCAUGUUAUAUGAGUGUUGUUUUACUAAGAACAAGUGUUGUGUGGUUAUAUAUCAGUGUAGAACAUACUGCCAGGUUAAUGAAGUUAGUCUAAUGUCUAUACUAACCUCCAUAACCUGUGAAUACAUGAGAUAGUAAACCAUGUUAUAUGAGUGUUGUUUUACUGAGAACAAGUGUUUUAUGGUUAUUAAUUAGUGUAGAACCUACUGUCAGGUUACUGAAGUUAGUCUAAUGUCCAUAUUAACCUUCAUAACCUGUUUAUACAUGAGAGAUAGUAAACCAUAUUAUAUGGGUGUUGUUUUACUGAGAACAAGUGUUGUAUGGGUAUAUAUCAGUGUAGAACCUACUGCCAGGUUACUGAAGUUAAUAUAAUGUAUAUACUAACGGCCAUAACCUGUAUAUACGUGAGGGAUAGUCAACCAUGUAAAAUUAGUUUUGUUUUACUGAGAACAAGUGUUGUAUGGUUAUAUAUCAGUGUACAUUCUACUGCCAGGUUACUGAAGUUAGUCUUAUGUCUAUACUAACCUCCAUAACCUGUGUAUACAUGAGAGAUAGUCAACUAUGUUAUAUGAGUGUUGUUUUACUGAGAACAAAUGUUGUACAGUUAUAUAUCAGUGUAGAACCUACUGCCAGGUUACUGAAGUUAGUCUUAUGUCUAUACUAACCUCCAUAACCUGUUUAUACAUAAGAGAUAGUCAACCAUGUUAUAUGAGUGUUGUUUUACUUAGAACAAGUGUUGUGUGGGUAUAUAUCAGUGUAGAACAUACUGCCAGGUUACUGAAGUUAGUCUUGUGUCUGUACUAACCCCCAUAACCUGUUUAUACAUGAGAGAUAGUCAACCAUGUUAUAUGAGUGUUGUUUUACUAAGAACAAGUGUUCUGUGGUUAUAUAUCAGUGUAGAACAUACUGCCAGGUUACUGAAGUUAGUCUAAUGUCUAUACUAACCUCCAUAACCUGUGUAUACAUGAGAGAUAGUCAACCAUGUUAUAUGAGUGCUGUUUUACUGAGAACAAAAGUUGUACAGUUAUAUAUCAGUGAAGAACCUACUGCCAGGUUACUGAAGUUAGUCUUAUGUCUAUACUAACCUCCAUAACCUGUGUAUGCAUGAGAGAUGGUCAACCAUGUUAUAUGAGUGUUGUUUUACUUAGAACAAGUGUUGUGUGGUUAUAUAUCAGUGUAGAACAUACUGCCAGGUUACUGAAGUUAGUCUAAUGUCUAUACUAACCUCCAUAACCUGUGUAUACAUGAGAGAUAGUCAACCAUGUUAUAUGAGUGUUGUUUUACUGAGAACAAAUGUUGUACAGAUAUAUAUCAGUGUAGAACCUACUGCCAGGUUAUUGAAGUUAGUCUUAUGUCUAUACUAACCUCCAUAACCUGUUUAUACAUAAGAGAUAGUCAACCAUGUUAUAUGAGUGUUGUUUUACUUAGAACAAGUGUUGUGUGGGUAUAUAUGAGUGUAGAACCUACUGCCAGGUUACUGAAGUUAGUCUAAUGUCUAUACUAACCUCCAUAACCUGUGUAUACAUGAGAGAUAGUCAACCAUGUUAUAUGAGUGUUGUUUUACUGAGAACAAGUGUUGUACAGUUAUAUAUCAGUGAAGAACCUACUGCCAGGUUACUGAAGUUAGUCUAAUGUCUAUACUAACCUCCAUAACCUGUUUAUACAUGAGAGAUAGUCAACCAUGUUGUAUGAGUUUUGUUUUACUGAGAACAAGUGUUUUGUGGUUAUAUAUGAGUGUAGAACCUACUGCCAGGUUACUGAAGUUAGUCUAAUGUCUAUACUAACCUCCAUAACCUGUGUAUGCAUGAGA
This is a long non-coding RNA of Mytilus californianus (California mussel), 1824 nucleotides long. RefSeq lists it as uncharacterized. The record is from RefSeq and is a predicted model, not a curated record. The transcript is spliced from 4 exons. Lineage: Eukaryota; Metazoa; Mollusca; Bivalvia; Mytilida; Mytilidae.